RNAcentral lists this ribosomal RNA (467 nucleotides) under uncultured bacterium. Its description in RNAcentral is "partial 16S ribosomal RNA". It matches the Rfam family "Bacterial small subunit ribosomal RNA", at positions 28 to 506 of the family's 1533-position model. The record is from RNAcentral.
GACGAACGCUGGCGGCGUGCUUAACACAUGCAAGUCGAACGGAAAGGCCCUGCUUUUGUGGGGUGCUCGAGUGGCGAACGGGUGAGUAACACGUGAGUAACCUGCCCUUGACUUUGGGAUAACUUCAGGAAACUGGGGCUAAUACCGGAUAGGAGCUCCUGCUGCAUGGUGGGGGUUGGAAAGUUUCGGCGGUUGGGGAUGGACUCGCGGCUUAUCAGCUUGUUGGUGGGGUAGUGGCUUACCAAGGCUUUGGCGGGUAGCCGGCCUGAGAGGGUGACCGGCCACAUGGGGACGAAGAUACGGCCCAGACGCCUACGGGAGGCAGCAGGGGGGAAUAUGGCACAAUGGGCGGAAGCGUGAUGCAGCAACGCCGCGUGCGGAAAGACGUCCUUCGGGUGGUAAACCGCUUUCGCCUGUGACGAAGCGGGAGUGACGGUAAUGGGUAAGGAAGCACCGGCUAACUACGU